This 468-nucleotide ribosomal RNA is filed under the name uncultured bacterium. RNAcentral describes it as "partial 16S ribosomal RNA". It matches the Rfam family "Bacterial small subunit ribosomal RNA", at positions 28 to 507 of the family's 1533-position model. The record is from RNAcentral.
GAUGAACGCUGGCGGCGUGCUUAACACAUGCAAGUCGAACGGUGAAGGCGGAGCUUGCUCUGCUGCAUCAGUGGCGAACGGGUGAGUAACACGUGAGCAAUCUGCCCCUGACUCUGGGAUAAGCUCUGGAAACGGCGUCUAAUACUGGAUACGAGCUGCUAAGGCAUCUUCAGCAGCUGGAAAGAAUUUCGGUCAGGGAUGAGCUCGCGGCCUAUCAGCUUGUUGGUGAGGUAGUGGCUCACCAAGGCGUCGACGGGUAGCCGGCCUGAGAGGGUGACCGGCCACACUGGGACUGAGAAACGGCCCAGACUCCUACGGGAGGCAGCAGUGGGGAAUAUUGCACAAUGGGCGAAAGCCUGAUGCAGCAACGCCGCGUGAGGGACGACGGCCUUCGGGUUGUAAACCUCUUUUAGCAGGGAAGAAGCGAAAGUGACGGUAACUGCAGAAAAAGCGCCGGCUAACUACGUG